UUUAAGGUCUAACCUGCCCAAUGAGGAUUUAAAUGGCCGCAGUAUUUUGACUGUGCAAAGGUAGCAUAAUUAUUAGUUUUUUAAUUGAAAGCUUGUAUGAAGGGUUGGACGAAAUGAAAUCUGUCUUUAUUUAAAUUAAAGUAUAAUUUAACUUUUAAGUAAGAAGGCUUAAAUGUUUAUAAAAGACGAGAAGACCCUAUAGAUCUUUAUUUAAUUGAAAUUUUAAUAAUUUAGGAUUAUUUUAAUUUAAAGUUUUAAUUGAAUUUUAUUGGGGUAAUAUAAAGAUUAAAUAAAUUCUUUUUAUUUAUAACAUUGAUUUAUGAAUAUAUGAUCCAUUAAUAUUGAUUAUAAGAUUAAGUUACCUUAGGGAUAACAGCGUAAUUUUUUUGGAGAGCUCAUAUCGAUAAAAAAGUUUGCGACCUCGAUGUUGGAUUAAAAAUUAGCUUGGGUGCAGAAGCUCAAGAUUUUGGUCUGUUCGACCAUUAAAUUUUUACAUGAUCUGAGUUCAGACCGGCGUGAGCCAGGUCGGUUUCUAUCUUUAUUAAGAUAAAAUGUUUUAGUACGAAAGGACCAGACAUUUAAUAUAAUUAUAUUUAUUUCUUGAAGAAUAUU
RNAcentral lists this ribosomal RNA (612 nucleotides) under Cicindela (Rivacindela) sp. JP-1a. Its description in RNAcentral is "partial 16S ribosomal RNA". It matches the Rfam family "Bacterial large subunit ribosomal RNA", at positions 1844 to 2739 of the family's 2925-position model. Lineage: Eukaryota; Metazoa; Arthropoda; Insecta; Coleoptera; Carabidae. The record is from RNAcentral.